Molecule: ribosomal RNA, 253 nt
Filed under: uncultured prokaryote
Description: partial 16S ribosomal RNA
Rfam family: Bacterial small subunit ribosomal RNA
Source: RNAcentral
ACGGGGGGGGCUAGCGUUGUUCGGAAUUACUGGGCGUAAAGGGCGCGUAGGCGGCCUACUAAGUCGGACGUGAAAUCCCUCGGCUCAACCGGGGAACUGCGUCCGAUACUGGUGGGCUUGAAUCCGGGAGAGGGAUGUGGAAUUCCAGGUGUAGCGGUGAAAUGCGUAGAUAUCUGGAGGAACACCCGUGGCGAAAGCGAGUUACUGGGACGGUACUGACACUGAGGAACGAAAGCCUGGGGAGCGAAAGGGA